This 95-nucleotide microRNA precursor is filed under the name Colobus angolensis palliatus. Its description in RNAcentral is "miRNA (ENSCANG00000002592.1)". The record is from RNAcentral. Lineage: Eukaryota; Metazoa; Chordata; Mammalia; Primates; Cercopithecidae.
UGAGGCAGGAGAAUUGCUUGAACCCAGGAGGCGGAGGCUGCAGUGAGCUGAGAUCAUGCCACUGCACUCCAGCCUGGGUGACACAGCGAGACUCC